This 460-nucleotide ribosomal RNA is filed under the name uncultured bacterium. Its description in RNAcentral is "partial 16S ribosomal RNA". It matches the Rfam family "Bacterial small subunit ribosomal RNA", at positions 338 to 795 of the family's 1533-position model. The record is from RNAcentral.
CCUACGGGCGGCAGCAGUGAGGAAUAUUGGUCAAUGGACGAGAGUCUGAACCAGCCAAGUAGCGUGAAGGAUGACUGCCCUAUGGGUUGUAAACUUCUUUUAUAUGGGAAUAAAAUGUUCCACGUGUGGGAUUUUGUAUGUACCAUAUGAAUAAGGAUCGGCUAACUCCGUGCCAGCAGCCGCGGUAAUACGGUGGAUCCGAGCGUUAUCCGGAUUUAUUGGGUUUAAAGGGAGCGUAGGUGGAUUGUUAAGUCAGUUGUGAAAGUUUGCGGCUCAACCGUAAAAUUGCAGUUGAAACUGGCAGUCUUGAGUACAGUAGAGGUGGGCGGAAUUCGUGGUGUAGCGGUGAAAUGCUUAGAUAUCACGAAGAACUCCGAUGGCGAAGGCAGUUCACUGGACUGCAACUGACACUGAGGCUCGAAAGUGUGGGUAUCAAACAGGAUUAGAUACCCUGGUAGAC